UACAGAGGCCCCAAGCAUUAUCCGGAAUCACUGGGCGUAAAGGGUGCCAAGGCGGUCGUAUUAGUCUCCCGUUAAAUCUGUGGGCUCAACCUACAGCUCGCGGGAGAUACGGUACGACUCGAGGUUGGAAGAGGUGCGUGGAACUCACGGUGUAGGGGUGAAAUCCGUUGAUAUCGUGGGGAACACCAAAGGCGAAGGCAGCGCACUGGUCCAAAUCUGACGCUCACGCACGAAAGCCAGGGUAGCGAACGGG
This 253-nucleotide ribosomal RNA is filed under the name uncultured bacterium. RNAcentral describes it as "partial 16S ribosomal RNA". It matches the Rfam family "Bacterial small subunit ribosomal RNA", at positions 524 to 776 of the family's 1533-position model. The record is from RNAcentral.